Molecule: long non-coding RNA, 5450 nt
Filed under: Nicotiana tabacum (common tobacco)
Lineage: Eukaryota; Viridiplantae; Streptophyta; Magnoliopsida; Solanales; Solanaceae
Description: long non-coding RNA (NTAB_LNC015934)
Source: RNAcentral
AACGAUAAUAUAAAUACGCGGAAGAACACCCAUACACAGCCCUAGCCGGGGUGUAACUAAUCAUGAGCAUCUAUAAGUCAUAAUACAAUUCUGCUAAAUCCAUAACUAGUACAACUGUUUGAAAAAAAUAGAAGUGAUAAAUGAGUAGAGACACGGGGCUGCGGAUGUCCACAUCUACCUCGUAAUCUCCGAAAGCCCGCCUGAAACUAGAGGAAUUAGCACUCGGGAGCAGAACCAGCUACACCUGAAUCUGCACACGAGGUGCAGGGAGUAAAGUGAGUACUCCAACUCAGUGAGUAACAAAUGUAAAUAACAACUGAAAGUAAGAAAACACGUAAGGCACAAGACAUUCUAUAAUGAAUCAGUAAAACAGUGAAAAGUCAAGUAAAAUCCUCUUUCAACAAGUAAACAAGUAAUUGACAGGUAAUUAAGGUUAAGUAAACAAAUAGAAGUUCGCCCCUCGGGCACAAUAUCACCACAUCCGCCACUCAGGCAACAUCUCAGAACAAUAAUAGCCCCUCGGGCUCAAUCUCAUAUCACAUGGGUACCCACGUUCACUGAGGGUGUACAUACUCCUGGAGGGGCCCCUUACGGACCAAGCGCAAUAUCAAUCCAUCUCGUGGCAUCAAAACUAGGCCCCCGGCCUCAUAUCAAUCAAGCCACCUUGUGGCAUACAUAUCUCAGGCCCUCGGCCUCAAAUCAGUAUCAGUGUUUCCUCACAACAUAGGCCCUCGGCCUUACUCAGUCAAAAAUUAUCACAAGCCUCUCGGGCAAUAGUAAAACAGUGUUCUUCAGCUCAAACAUCAUUUAAAAUAUCAUAUAAGUCUUAAAAACUGGAUAAAUAUGGUUGAGUAGUAAAACAGUGGAAAAUAACAUGACUGAGUUCAAGUAAUAAGUCAAAACAUUGAGGAAACAAUAAUAACAAUCCUCGAAGGGUUCAAAUAGUUGGCACGAAGCCCAAAUAUGGCAUUCAGCCCAAAUCAUGAUGAUAGAAAAUAAGUUUCAGUCAAAUACGCGAUAAAAUCAUCAACCGGGACGGACUAAGUCACAAUCCCCAAUAGUGCACGACCCCACGCUCGUCAUCAAGCGUGUGUCUCACCUCAAUAUAGCACUACGAUGUGCAAUCCAGGGUUUCAAACCCUCAGAAUAUCAUUUACAAUCAUUACUCACCUCGAACCGGCUAAAUAUCUAGCUCGCGACGCCUUUGCCCCUCGAAUUGGCCUCCACGCGCGUCGAAUCUAUCCAAAAUAGAACGAGGACGUCAAAAUAUGCUAGGAAACAAAGCCCAAGCGAAAACAAUCAAUAAAGGCACAAAUCCCGAAAUUUCCAAAACCCGACCCCCAAUCCCACGUCUCGAAAUUCAGAAAUUUUUACACCAAUAGAUUCCUUAUCUUCCCACGAGUUCAUACAUAUUAAAAAUUCUCAAAUCCGACCUCAAAUGGUCCCCCAAAUCCCCAAUCAAAAGUCCAAAUUUUCAAGCCCUAGUUCUUCAAUUUUUAGCUUAAUUUCCAUAAUUUUCUAGGUGGAAUUCACAUAAUAAUCGAGUUUUAAGUCCAAGAAUCUUACCUCUCAACGAUUCUCCUUGAAUCCCUCUUCAAUCUCCUUCAAAAAUCUCCAAAAACAAUCAACUAUGGAGGAAAUAAACCCAAUCCUCACGGACAAGACGAGUUUUAAAACCUUCUGUCCAGGCAUAAAUUCCUUCUUCGCGAACGCGAUCAAAACCUCGCGUUCGCGAAGCACAAAAAUAACGUUGACCAAAAUCCUCUUUCACAAAUGCGACACAACCACCACGAAUGCGAUGCUUUACCUAGACGAACCUUCGCGAACUCGUUCCAUCCAUCGCGAAUGCGAUGGGUUAAUUCCACUAAAGCUCAGCCUCUCAAUUCCUUUUACGCGAAUGCAACUACACGCCCGCGAACGUGAUGCACAAGCUCGCAGCCCUUCGCGAACGCGUAACCUGCCCCGCGAACGCGAAGGGUAAAUACCUGCAACUGUUGAACCUGCAAUUUCUGCAACUUCCUUAACUUCAAAAUGAUCCGAUUGACCACCUGAAACUCACCCGAUGCACCCGGGACCUCAGCCAAAGGCACAAACACAUCCUAAUAUUUUAUUCAAACUUAUUCCAAUCAUCAAAACACCUCAAAUAACAUCAAAUCACCCAAAACACAUCGGAUUCAAGCCAAAUUUUCUAAAAUCUUCCGAAUUACGCUUUUGAUCGAAAACCUAACCAAACCACGUCUGAAUGACCUGGAAUUUUUCACACACAUUCCAAAUGACACAACGGAACUACUGCAACUCUCGGAAUUCCAUUCUGACCCCUAUAUCAAAAUCUCGCCUAUCGAUCGGAAAUCGCCAAAAUAUCAACUUCACCAAUUCAAGCCUAAAUCUACUCCGAACCUCCAAAACUCAUUCUGAUCACUCUCCUAAGUCACAAAUCACCUCUCGAAGUUAACCGAACCAUCGGAAUUCACUUCCGAUCCCUCUAACACAUAAGUCAACAUCCGAUUGACUUUUUCAACUUAAGCUCCCUCAAAAGAGACUAAGUGUCUCAAACCUUACAAAAUUCCUUUCGGAUUCGAUCCGGCCAAGCCAAUAUCACAUAAAACGGAUAUACAAAGCAUAAAGAAGCAAAAAUGGGAAAAACGGAGCGGUACCUUAUGAGACGACUGGUCGGGUCGUUACAGUUGUACUUGGAGAAUUCUUGCUUCAAGAGAGGACAAUCUUUGAUGAAAUGUCAAGGCUUUCCACACUUAUGACAGAGAUCAUAGUUUUUUAGUUUGCUAGAGCUGCCCCUUUUUAGCAUUUCUCCAUUUCUUCUGACCAUCUUCUGAAAUCUUUUGGUUAAGUAAGCCAUGUCACUGUCUUCCUCACCUCAGUCAUUGCUAUCAGCUUUGAGUACCAGAUUCUUUUCUUUCUUUGGUUCUCUUCUUUUAUUGUCUAUCUUCCUCUUCAUCUCGUAGGUCUUCCUCUUCAUCUCGUAGGUCUUCAGAUUUCCAAUCAGCUCUUCUAUGGUCAGCUCUUGCAAGUCCUUUGAUUCAGUAUUAGCAUUCACCUUGCUUUCCCAAGGGCUAGGCAGAAUACUGAGGAUUUUCCUCACUAGUUUGUUCCUAGGAAUGGUUUCACCAAGUGAGUGUAACUCAUUUAUGAUGGAAGUAAAUCUUGUGUGCAUAUCUUGAAUAGAUUCAUCGUCAUUCAUCCUGAAGAUUUCAAACUCGGUAGUGAGCAUAUCGAUCUUAGAUUGUUUUACUUGGGUGGUUCCCUCAUGAGCUGUUUGCAAAACUUCCCAUAUCUCCUUAGCAGUGUCACAAGCGGAGAUUCUAUUGUAUUCUUCAUGUCCUAUUCCACAUACCAGAAUCUUCUUGGCACGAAAAUUCUUCUCCACCACUUUUUUGUCUGCGCCGGUGUAUUCUUUACUGGUUUUUGGCAUUGAGAAUGGAAGUUCUUCCGGUAGCUUUGUUGGAACAUAAGGACCGUCACAUAUGACAUUCCAUAAUUCAGAAUUCUCAGCCAUGAUAAAAUCCUUAGACAUAUCUCUACUUUCCCACUUUAGGUGAUUGAGACACAAAAUUUUAAAAAAUUCUUUUUAAAAAAAAAUUAUGUUCUAAAAUAAAUAUAGAUAUAUGUAUAAUUAUAAAUUAUCUCAUUAAGCGUAAAAUAAAAAAAUUUAAUAUUAAAUUAUUUCUAGAGAUGAAAAAAUAUCAAUCUUUUUUAAAAAGGUUUAAAAAGAAAGUGCAUCAGAUAGAAAAGGAAUACUAUAAUUUAUUUAUUUUCCUAGAUCAACAUGUGAUAUGAAUGUGGUGACUCACAAAGACAAGAUAAUGAUUCUUUCUUUUUCUCUUUGCUACUUUUUUUUCCCUCCAUAUUCUUUCACAUCAACGUGUGGUUUGCAUGUUUGUGGGGUUCGAGAAUAAUGUGCUUGUUUUUCUUCUUUCUCCAUUUGCUUCUCUGAGUUAAAUUUUUUAUGACGAAACAAAAUUUUACAUAUAAAGUUGAUUUACAAAUAAAGUUAUCUUCUAAGAUAUAAAGAUUGGUAACAUAUUAUUAGGGAUGGCAAUGGUGUGGGGCGGGUCGGUUUUACUCUUAUGCGGGUAGGGGCGGGGCGGGACGGAUAAUUUUAAAAAAUUUCAAGGCGGGGCGGUUUUACUCUUAUGCGGGUAGGGGCGGGUCGGGACGGAUAAUUUUAAAAAAAUUCAAAGCGGGGCGGGGCAGGUUGCAACUUGCGGGUUUAAUGCGGAUUGAAUGCGAGGCAACUUUGAAUUUUAUCUAUUUUAAAACAAACAAUCAUUUUAAUUUCAAUUUCACAUUCUUCUUCACUAGCAUAAAUAUUAUUUUGAUUUAUAAUUAAUCAAUUUGCAUAAGUCUCACCAACAUGAUAUAUUGGGAUUCAAAUGUAUGAUUUUCUUUUGCCACGGAACUGACCCGCAGGAACAUUAAAGAAAAAUUUUCACUUAUUCUUACACUAACAUUUCCUUACUAUAAGUCUACAGAAAACCUUUAUAGAUAGCUUUUAAUGAGAAAGUAGAGACCAUAAGAAAAUUUUCAAAAUGAUAAUUUAAUCAAGUGAUCAAAUGUAUAAUUGGAACUGUUUAAAAUUAUAUUUUUAGAACUGUUUUUAAAAUAAAUAUCCUCAAAUUGUAACUACAAAACAUAAUUUUUGCAAAAAGAAUUAAUAUACUAGUAACUUUUAAAAAACUUAAACAAACACCAAUUUGAAAAUUUUCUAAAGCAAAGUAUUGAAAAUUCAUGGACGAUAUGCCAGGCGUUAAACGUCCAUGAAUUGCUCAAAUUCAAAAAAAGAAUUGUUAGCACAAAGUGCGCCGUUCCACACACUGUCAAACUAGUUUGUUUUAAAAAAUAUUAAAGAAAAAAGAAAAAAAAUUAAGUGGGGCGGGGGUUGAAAUUUUUUUGUGGGUUUUGUCAAUCCUGCCCCGCAGCCCCCUCCCCCGCUCCAUUAUCAUCCCUACAUAAUAUCCAUAAUAUAGUAUGGGAGUAUAUGGAAGUUGUGGUUGUGAUGGUUACAACAACAACGUAGUAUAAUUUUAGGAGGAUAGUGUGUACGCAGCUUUACCAUGAAGGAAGAGAUGUUGUUUCCGAUAGAACUCCCGCGCACGCAAAGCACAAUUAUAACAGUUCUAAAAGGAAAUAUAGCAGUGAAAAAAGACAUAAAAGAGAAUAGUAUCAUUAUCAAGAUAAUAAGAUAACAGAAGCAAUAGAAGUAACAUGUAAUAGUAGAAAUCUAAGGGUAAGAGAAUACAAGAAUAAUACUUAAGCUACUAGUACGGCAGAGAGAAAUGCUCGAUUACCUACUAGUCUUUUACCCUGAUUCUCGUCCUCCACACCUUGUUAUCAAGGUCAUGGCCUCACUAUAGUAGAGAUGUGUCAUAUUAAUUAGAGCAAAUAACAUGAAAAUCACAUAAUCAUAGCAGAAAUGACUGGCAACUCUACAUGAU